This 448-nucleotide ribosomal RNA is filed under the name uncultured bacterium. RNAcentral's name for it is "bacterial SSU rRNA". It matches the Rfam family "Bacterial small subunit ribosomal RNA", at positions 341 to 806 of the family's 1533-position model. The record is from RNAcentral.
ACGGGAGGCAGCAGUGGGGAAUCUUAGACAAUGGGGGCAACCCUGAUCUAGCCAUGCCGCGUGAGUGAUGAAGGCCUUAGGGUCGUAAAGCUCUUUCGCCUGUGAUGAUAAUGACAGUAGCAGGUAAAGAAACCCCGGCUAACUCCGUGCCAGCAGCCGCGGUAAUACGGAGGGGGUUAGCGUUGUUCGGAAUUACUGGGCGUAAAGCGCGCGUAGGCGGAUUAGAAAGUUGGGGGUGAAAUCCCGGGGCUCAACCCCGGAACUGCCUCCAAAACUGCUAGUCUAGAGUUCGAGAGAGGUGAGUGGAAUUCCGAGUGUAGAGGUGAAAUUCGUAGAUAUUCGGAGGAACACCAGUGGCGAAGGCGGCUCACUGGCUCGAUACUGACGCUGAGGUGCGAAAGUGUGGGGAGCAAACAGGAUUANAUACCCUGGUAGUCCACACCGUAAA